This 1245-nucleotide ribosomal RNA is filed under the name metagenome. RNAcentral's name for it is "bacterial LSU rRNA". It matches the Rfam family "Bacterial large subunit ribosomal RNA", at positions 1564 to 2818 of the family's 2925-position model. The record is from RNAcentral.
UGAAUACGAGAUGCUACGGCGUCGAAGCAGUCUAUGUCAUACUUCCAAGAAAAGCUUGCACUGUCAUAAACAAAUAAUGCCUGUACCAUAACCGACACAGGUAGGUAGGUAGAGUAUACUAAGGGGCGCGAGAUAACUCUCUCUAAGGAACUCGGCAAAAUGACUCCGUAACUUCGGGAGAAGGAGUGCCUUAUUUAUAAGGUUGCAAUAACAAGAUCCAAGCAACUGUUUACCAAAAACACAGGUCUCCGCUAAGUCGUAAGACGAUGUAUGGGGGCUGACGCCUGCCCAGUGCCAGAAGGUUAAAGAAGUUGGUUAGCAUCCGCGAAGCUGAUAACUGAAGCCCUGGUGAACGGCGGCCGUAACUAUAACGGUCCUAAGGUAGCGAAAUUCCUUGUCGGGUAAGUUCCGACCCGCACGAAAGGCGUAAUGAUUUGGAUACUGUCUCGGAGAGGGGCUCGGUGAAAUAGACUUGUCUGUGAAGAUGCGGACUACCUGCACCAGGACAGAAAGACCCUAUGAAGCUUUACUGUAACCUGAAAUUGAAAUUGGACUUUACUUGCGCAGUAUAGGUGGGAGGCGUUGAGAAUAUUCUUGCGGGAUUAUUGGAGCCAUCAGUGAGAUACCACUCUUGUAAUGUUAGAUUUCUAACUUUGUAUCAUUAUCUGGUCAAAGAACAGUUUCAGGCGGGCAGUUUGACUGGGGCGGUCGCCUCCUAAACGGUAACGGAGGCGCACAAAGGUUUCCUCUGAACGGGUAGAAAUCGUAUCUAGAGUGUAAAGGCAUAAGGAAGCUUGACUGUGAGACCUACAAGUCGAGCAGGGACGAAAGUCGGUCUUAGUGAUCUGACGGUGCUGAGUGGAAAGGCCGUCACUCAACGGAUAAAAGUUACUCUAAGGAUAACAGGCUGAUCUCCCCCAAGAGUUCACAUCGACGGGGAGGUUUGGCACCUCGAUGUCGGCUCAUCGCAUCCUGGGGCGGUAGUACGUCCCAAGGGUUGGGCUGUUCGCCCAUGAAAGCGGUACGCGAGCUGGGUUCAGAACGUCGUGAGACAGUUCGGUCCAUAUCCGGUGUAGGCGUUAGAAUAUUGAGAGGAGCCUUCUUUAGUACGAGAGGACCGAGAAGGACAUACCUCUGGUGUACCAGUUAUCGUGCCAACGGUAAACGCUGGGUAGCUAUGUGUGGAGUGGAUAACCGCUGAAAGCAUCUAAGUGGGAAGCCCACCUCAAGAUAAGUAUUCUCAUU